RNAcentral lists this ribosomal RNA (492 nucleotides) under uncultured bacterium. RNAcentral's name for it is "partial 16S ribosomal RNA". It matches the Rfam family "Bacterial small subunit ribosomal RNA", at positions 29 to 507 of the family's 1533-position model. The record is from RNAcentral.
AGUGAACGCUGGCGGUAGGCCUAACACAUGCAAGUCGAACGGCAGCACAGUAAGAGCUUGCUCUUACGGGUGGCGAGUGGCGGACGGGUGAGGAAUACAUCGGAAUCUACUUUUUCGUGGGGGAUAACGUAGGGAAACUUACGAUAAUACCGCAUACGACCUACGGGUGAAAGCAUGGGAUCUUCGCACCUUGCGCGAUUGAAUGAGCCGAUGUCGGAUUAGCUGGUUGGCGGGGUAAAGGCCCACCAAGGCGGCGAUCCGUAGCUGGUCUGAGAGGAUGAUCGGCCACACUGGAACUGAGACACGGUCCAGACUCCUACGGGAGGCAGCAGUGGGGAAUAUUGGACAAUGGGCGCAAGCCUGAUCCAGCCAUACCGAGUGGGUGAAGAAGGCCUUCGGGUUGUAAAGCCCUUUUGUUGGGAAAGAAAAGCAGCAGGUUAAUACCCCGCUGUUCUGACGGUACCCAAAGAAUAAGCACCGGCUAACUUCGUG